AGGAGCAGGGCCUUUUUCUCAUUGGCUGGGGGACAUUGUGGGAAAGUACUCUGUUGGAGGAAGGGGUCGGCCUGACAAGAGCAGGAGCUGAGCUGGCUGGAGGCUGCAGUUGUGAAGCUGGUCUAACGGGGAGGAGCCAUGAGGACAUCCAGGGGAGCUUUAAUCGUGUUCUCGUGGCUGCAGCUGAGCUGGUUCAGCCAAGGAGAGACGGUGGAGCAGCGGCCUUCGACCCUGAGUGUGCGACAGGGACGCAGCUCUGUCAUCAACUGCAGCUAUUCAGACAGUGCCUCAGUCUACUUCCCUUGGUAUAAGCAAGAGCUUGGAAAAGGUCCCCAGCUCCUUAUAGACAUUCGUUCCACCACGGCCACAAAAGAAGACCAAAGGCUCACUGUCUCACUGAGCAGGACGGCCAGACAUCUGUCCCUGCACAUCGCAGACACGCAGCCUGAAGACUCAGCUGUGUACUUCUGCGCGGCAAGCACACACUGCUCCCCAGACACCUGCUGCCUGCGCUCAAACCUGUGAGCGGGGCAGCCCCUGGCCUUUGACACAGACCUUCCAGGAGAGCAUUUGUGCUGUUUGUCUGUAGGUGGAAGCUGAUGUGUUAGAUGUGAAAAGCAUAUAAUAAGACGGUUAGGAUGGAGAUGACCCAGACAGGGUUAGAACAUUUUGUUGAAUGACUGUUUUUUGAUGGAUUCUUGAAUGGAGUUAGUAAUGUUUUAUUUUGAAAUUCAGGUUUUAAGAUGACUUUACAUUUGCUCUUCAGACUGUCUCUUAUAAAUAUCCACUCAGUACCAGUAUUACAGUCCUUCUUAUGGAUGGGCACUUAAAAUUGUAUUUCAAAAGUAGUAGUUAUGAUUUUUGUGAUUCUAAAACAUCACAUGCCAAAUAUAGUAGUAUGGAAAGUAGAAACAUGAAAGUGAUAAUUCUGUAAACAGAUAAUAUUGCUAAUAAUCUUUUUAGUCUCUCCAAAUAUUUAUUAGAAUUACAUUCAUGAUUUUUUCACUUUAUGGAUUUUGAUUUGAGCAUUUCCUACUUCAUCGAAUCUUUCCCUCAAAGAUCUGGGUUUUUUUUUUAAUUUUAUUUUUUUUAAGUUUUCAUUUAACUUGUGAUUCAAAAUAGCUCUGUGAGGUAUUUUCAUUAAUUAUGGUUUCAUAUUAAUUUUGUUCCUCUGUAUUUGGGGCAAAUUUGACUGCUGAAAUUUUCUAUGUGCUUUGAUCACUUUCUUUUUCAGAAAUUGUGAACAGGUUUUCCUUCAGAGCCCAGGAAUGGUAUGUACUAUUUGUGCGUUUGAGGCAAUUAAGAUAGGGAGUGAUUUGACAGUGUGAGUUUCAGAUAAAACUCAGAAAUCUACUCUCGUUUGCAAAAUUUUUUAAGUGUCUGUUCAUAUUACCCUCUCAUAGAAUUUAGGAGACAGAGUUUUGUAUUUCAUUCACUGGUAUAUUUUCAGUAAGUAGCACAAACUUUUCACAUAAUUAAUUAGCAGUAGAUGUUAAAGAAAGAAGGAAAGGAGAUUUCUGCUACUUACUCAUAAUUGUAAUUUAAGCUUUAUGAUUGAAUUAAACUUAUAAAUUGAUUUGUGAAAUGUCCUUAUUCUGUAUAUCCGAUUAUUUGAUUGUUUUACAACAUAUUGUUUCUUUCCAUGUAUAUGCGUCUCUUUCUUAAUAAAGCUCAUUUGU
Ailuropoda melanoleuca (giant panda) is the source of this 1679-nucleotide non-coding RNA. Lineage: Eukaryota; Metazoa; Chordata; Mammalia; Carnivora; Ursidae. The record is from the annotation of a RefSeq genome assembly.